Molecule: ribosomal RNA, 332 nt
Filed under: uncultured eukaryote
Lineage: Eukaryota
Description: partial 18S ribosomal RNA
Rfam family: Eukaryotic small subunit ribosomal RNA
Source: RNAcentral
CCCUUAGAUGUUCUGGGCUGCACGCGCGCUACACUGUCGGAUUCAGCGAGUCAUAUCCUUAACCGAAAGGUUUGGGUAAUCUUUUGAAAGUCCGACGUGAUGGGGAUUGAUCAUUGCAAUUAUUGAUCAUGAACGAGGAAUUCCUAGUAAGCGCGAGUCAUCAGCUCGCGUUGAUUACGUCCCUGCCCUUUGUACACACCGCCCGUCGCUACUACCGAUUGAAUGGUUUAGUGAGAUCUUCGGGUUGGCGCCUACGCGGCUUCUCUGAGGCCACGCUGGAUGCCGAAAAGUUGCUCAAACUGUAUCAUUUAGAGGAAGUAAAAGUCGUAACA